UGGGGAAUUUUGGACAAUGGGCGCAAGCCUGAUCCAGCCAUGCCGCGUGCGGGAAGAAGGCCUUCGGGUUGUAAACCGCUUUUGUCAGGGAAGAAAUCUUCUGAGUUAAUACCUCGGGAGGAUGACGGUACCUGAAGAAUAAGCACCGGCUAACUACGUGCCAGCAGCCGCGGUAAUACGUAGGGUGCAAGCGUUAAUCGGAAUUACUGGGCGUAAAGCGUGCGCAGGCGGUUUUGUAAGACAGAGGUGAAAUCCCCGGGCUCAACCUGGGAACUGCCUUUGUGACUGCAAGGCUUGAGUGCGGCAGAGGGGGAUGGAAUUCCGCGUGUAGCAGUGAAAUGCGUAGAUAUGCGGAGGAACACCGAUGGCGAAGGCAAUCCCCUGGGCCUGCACUGACGCUCAUGCACGAAAGCGUGGGGAGCAAACAGGAUUAGAUACCCUGGUAGUCCACGCCCUAAACGAUGUCAACUGGUUGUUGGGAAGGUUCCUUCUCAGUAACGUAGCUAACGCGUGAAGUUGACCGCCUGGGGAGUACGGCCGCAAGGUUGAAAACUCAAAGGAAUUGACGGGGU
RNAcentral lists this ribosomal RNA (572 nucleotides) under uncultured bacterium. RNAcentral describes it as "partial 16S ribosomal RNA". It matches the Rfam family "Bacterial small subunit ribosomal RNA", at positions 355 to 919 of the family's 1533-position model. The record is from RNAcentral.